Molecule: long non-coding RNA, 927 nt
Filed under: Brassica napus (rape)
Lineage: Eukaryota; Viridiplantae; Streptophyta; Magnoliopsida; Brassicales; Brassicaceae
Description: long non-coding RNA (BNAP_LNC024625)
Source: RNAcentral
CAAAUUCAAAGAGAAACAGAGAAAUCUCCGAAUCUUAUCCCAUCCAAGAGGUUUUCUUCUUACCUUUUCAUUUCAGAUCGCAUCUUAGUGGUGAUCCUCGUCUUCUAUGUUUUUUUUCAUUUCAUCUCUUAUAACUCUAGAUUUAGGGUUCCCGGUCUCGUAAUCGUUAAUUGAAUCGGCGGCGAAGGUCUAUGUAUCUCCCGAUCGAUCUUCGCUACCACUAAUUAUUACAAUCAGCUUAUCGCGAUAGUGUUUGAUUUUUGUUUUUUAGAUUCUUCUCUAGGCCUUGCUCGUAAUUGAAUCUGAUUCUGUUUUUUCGUGUUUUUAAGACAGAACCUUGAACUGAAUCAUUUGUCUAUUAUUAUUAUUAUUAUUAUUAUUAAUUUUAUCAGAUACCAUGCCGAAGAACAAGGGAAAGGGAGGAAAGAACAGGAAGAGAGGAAAGAACGAAGCCGACGACGAGAAGCGCGAGCUCAUCUUCAAAGAAGACGGACAAGAAUACGCGCAAGUCCUUCGCAUGCUCGGCAAAAAUUAUUACAAUCAGCUUAUCGCGAUAGUGUUUGAUUUUUGUUUUUUAGAUUCUUCUCUAGGCCUUGCUCGUAAUUGAAUCUGAUUCUGUUUUUUCGUGUUUUUAAGACAGAACCUUGAACUGAAUCAUUUGUCUAUUAUUAUUAUUAUUAUUAUUAUUAAUUUUAUCAGAUACCAUGCCGAAGAACAAGGGAAAGGAUAGAAAGAACAGGAAGAGAGGAAAGAACGAAGCUGAUGACGAGAAGCGUGAGCUCAUCUUCAAAGAAGACGGACAAGAAUACGCGCAAGUCCUUCGCAUGCUCGGCAACGGAAGAUGCGAGUGCAUGUGCAUCGACGGCACCAAGCGUCUCUGCCACAUCCGCGGCAAGAUGCACAAGAAGGUCUGGAUCGCGGCGGGCG